GAAUUUUGGACAAUGGGCGAAAGCCUGAUCCAGCAAUGCCGCGUGCAGGAUGAAGGCCUUCGGGUUGUAAACUGCUUUUGUACGGACCGAAAAGCUUUGGGUUAAUACCCUGUAGUCAUGACGGUACCGUUAGAAUAAGAACCGGCUAACUACGUGCCAGCAGCCGCGGUAAUACGUAGUGUGCAAACGUUAAUCGGAAUUACUGGGCGUAAAGCGUGCGCAGGCGGUUUUGUAAGACAGAGGUGAAAUCCCCGGGCGCAACCUGGGAACUGCCGUUGUGACGGCAAGGCUAGAGUACGGCAGAGGGGUGUGGAAUUCCGCGUGUAGCAGUGAAAUGCGUAGAUAGGCGGAGUAACACCGAUGGCGAAGGCAACCCCCUGGGCCUGUACUGACGCUCAUGCACGAAAGCGUGGGGAGCAAACA
This 423-nucleotide ribosomal RNA is filed under the name uncultured bacterium. RNAcentral's name for it is "partial 16S ribosomal RNA". It matches the Rfam family "Bacterial small subunit ribosomal RNA", at positions 359 to 774 of the family's 1533-position model. The record is from RNAcentral.